AUUGCCUUGGCGCUGCUACACAUGCAGUCGAACGGGAUCCAUCAGGCUUUGCUUGGUGGUGAGAGUGGCGAACGGGUGAGUAAUGCGUGACCGACCUGCCCCAUACACCGGAAUAGCUCCUGGAAACGGGUGGUAAUGCCGGAUGCUCCGACUCCUCGCAUGGGGUGUCGGGAAAGAUUUCAUCGGUAUGGGAUGGGGUCGCGUCCUAUCAGGUAGUCGGCGGGGUAACGGCCCACCGAGCCUACGACGGGUAGCCGGCCUGAGAGGGCGACCGGCCACAUUGGGACUGAGAUACGGCCCAGACUCCUACGGGAGGCAGCAGUGGGGAAUAUUGCACAAUGGGCGCAAGCCUGAUGCAGCGACGCCGCGUGCGGGAUGACGGCCUUCGGGUUGUAAACCGCUUUUGAUCGGGAGCAAGCCUUCGGGUGAGUGUACCUUUCGAAUAAGCACCGGCUAACUACGUGCCAGCAGCCGCGGUAAUACGUAGGGUGCAAGCGUUAUCCGGAAUUAUUGGGCGUAAAGGGCUCGUAGGCGGUUCGUCGCGUCCGGUGUGAAAGUCCAUCGCUUAACGGUGGAUCUGCGCCGGGUACGGGCGGGCUGGAGUGCGGUAGGGGAGACUGGAAUUCCCGGUGUAACGGUGGAAUGUGUAGAUAUCGGGAAGAACACCAAUGGCGAAGGCAGGUCUCUGGGCCGUUACUGACGCUGAGGAGCGAAAGCGUGGGGAGCGAACAGGAUUAGAUACCCUGGUAGUCCACGCCGUAAACGGUGGAUGCUGGAUGUGGGGCCCGUUCCACGGGUUCCGUGUCGGAGCUAACGCGUUAAGCAUCCCGCCUGGGGAGUACGGCCGCAAGGCUAAAACUCAAAGAAAUUGACGGGGGCCCGCACAAGCGGCGGAGCAUGCGGAUUAAUUCGAUGCAACGCGAAGAACCUUACCUGGGCUUGACAUGUUCCCGACAGCCGUAGAGAUAUGGCCUCCCUUCGGGGCGGGUUCACAGGUGGUGCAUGGUCGUCGUCAGCUCGUGUCGUGAGAUGUUGGGUUAAGUCCCGCAACGAGCGCAACCCUCGCCCUGUGUUGCCAGCACGUCAUGGUGGGAACUCACGGGGGACCGCCGGGGUCAACUCGGAGGAAGGUGGGGAUGACGUCAGAUCAUCAUGCCCCUUACGUCCAGGGCUUCACGCAUGCUACAAUGGCCGGUACAACGGGAUGCGACACGGCGACGUGGAGCGGAUCCCUGAAAACCGGUCUCAGUUCGGAUUGGAGUCUGCAACCCGACUCCAUGAAGGCGGAGUCGCUAGUAAUCGCGGAUCAGCAACGCCGCGGUGAAUGCGUUCCCGGGCCUUGUACACACCGCCCGUCAAGUCAUGAAAGUGGGUAGCACCCGAAGCCGGUGGCCUAACCCUUUGUGGAUGGAGCCGUCUAAGUAGACUUCGC
RNAcentral lists this ribosomal RNA (1432 nucleotides) under Bifidobacterium pseudocatenulatum. Its description in RNAcentral is "bacterial SSU rRNA". It matches the Rfam family "Bacterial small subunit ribosomal RNA". Lineage: Bacteria; Bacillati; Actinomycetota; Actinomycetes; Bifidobacteriales; Bifidobacteriaceae. The record is from RNAcentral.